This 405-nucleotide ribosomal RNA is filed under the name uncultured bacterium. Its description in RNAcentral is "bacterial SSU rRNA". It matches the Rfam family "Bacterial small subunit ribosomal RNA", at positions 954 to 1362 of the family's 1533-position model. The record is from RNAcentral.
AUGGGAACGCGAAGAACCUUACCUAGACUUGACAUCUCCUGAAUAGUGUAGAGAUACAUGAAGCCCUUCGGGCAGGAAGACAGGUGGUGCAUGGUUGUCGUCAGCUCGUGUCGUGAGAUGUUGGGUUAAGUCCCGCAACGAGCGCAACCCUUAUUACUAGUUGCUACCAUUAAGUUGAGCACUCUAGUGAGACUGCCCGGGUUAACCGGAGGAAGGCGGGAGUGACGUCAAAUCAUCAUGCCCCUUAUGUCUAGGGCUACACACGUGCUACAAUGGUGAGAACAACGAGAUGCAAUACCGCGAGGUGGAGCAAAACUUCAAAACUCAAUCUCAGUUCGGAUUGUAGGCUGAAACUCGCCUACAUGAAGUUGGAGUUGCUAGUAAUCGCGAAUCAGAAUGUCGCGG